GACGAACGCUGGUGGCGUGCUUAACACAUGCAAGUCGAACGGGAUUUAGUAAACAGAAGCCUCGGUGGAAGAUUACUAAUGAGAGUGGCGAACGGGUGAGUAACGCGUGAGCAACCUGCCUAUGACAGUGGGAUAGCCUCGGGAAACCGGGAUUAAUACCGCAUAAAAUCGUAGAAACACAUGUUUUAACGGUCAAAGAUUUAUCGGUCAUAGAUGGGCUCGCGUCUGAUUAGCUAGUUGGUGAGAUAACAGCCCACCAAGGCGACGAUCAGUAGCCGGUCUGAGAGGAUGAACGGCCACAUUGGAACUGAGACACGGUCCAAACUCCUACGGGAGGCGGCAGUGGGGAAUAUUGCACAAUGGGGGAAACCCUGAUGCAGCGACGCCGCGUGAACGAAGAAGGUAUUCGUAUCGUAAAGUUCUGCCCUAUGGGAAGAUAAUGACAGUACCAUAGAAGAAAGCUCCGGCUAAAUACGUG
RNAcentral lists this ribosomal RNA (478 nucleotides) under uncultured bacterium. RNAcentral's name for it is "partial 16S ribosomal RNA". It matches the Rfam family "Bacterial small subunit ribosomal RNA", at positions 28 to 507 of the family's 1533-position model. The record is from RNAcentral.